UACGAAGGGUGCGAGCGUUAAUCGGAAUUACUGGGCGUAAAGCGUGCGUAGGCGGUUACUUAAGUCAGAUGUGAAAGCCCCGGGCUCAACCUGGGAAUGGCAUUUGAUACUGGGUGGCUAGAAUGUGGUAGAGGAAGACGGAAUUCCCGGUGUAGCGGUGAAAUGCGUAGAUAUCGGGAAGAACACCAAUGGCGAAGGCAGUCUUCUGGGCCGACAUUGACGCUGAGGCACGAAAGCGUGGGGAGCAAAC
Molecule: ribosomal RNA, 250 nt
Filed under: uncultured bacterium
Lineage: Bacteria
Description: partial 16S ribosomal RNA
Rfam family: Bacterial small subunit ribosomal RNA
Source: RNAcentral